GCAGGACAUUUUCCCGUGGGAUGGGAUGAAUAGAUGACUGCUGGAGGAAUGAGGAGUCUCUGUUUUGCAGGGAAGGAAAUCUGGCUGCUAGGAAUGAAUCUGUUUGCAUCCCAAUCAUCCGUCUGGAGGGACGCUGAGGAAUGGCUGAUGAUCAGACAUUAACGUCCUUUCUGUGCUCUGGAUUCAUCUUUCCUCAUCCACAUUCUCUCCUUCCAGCUGAAACAUUCCCGGAUGCAGACAGAAAACAGGAUUGAGAGAGGGGAAGGACACCCGGCCAGGACUGGAUCCGGUUACAGCCGCACCGAGGACCAAAGCUUCUAACCUCUGCAGCUUCGCCUUGCUCUCACCCUGUCCAGCUUUAUCUCCCACAUGUCUCAGGUGGUUUCAGAACAAACACAUUUUAGUGCAGAAAAAGAUCUAAUGAAAAUUUACAAAGCAGCAGUUUUCAGAGAUGUGUUUAUUGGUUUGCUAAUGUGAAGGUAAGGUGCUGUGAAUGACAUGGAGCUUCAGGCUGUGCUCUUUGGUGGAACUAAUGGCCCAGAGGCCCGGUGGGCCCACCGCCUGCAUCAGGAAUCAGACAGCAGGCAGAGGGGACCCCAUCCACAGACACUUCAACCGAUGCUGCUGAACAUUCUCAGUCAUCCAGGGGGGCCCAUGCAUGGAGGGCCAUGCAGGCCACAGGAAUCAGAACCUUCUGACUGCCAAAGUGGUUCUGUUAUCAAUCUCAGAACCAGUCUCCGACCAACAGACUUUCUGCAACUUUUCUCUUUACAGGAAACUUUGAGAUGCCAGAGACUGAAGACCUGUCCUGCUGCUGGGCUGACAUGCUAAGCAAUCCUGACCUCUGGAGGCGCUCCACAUUUAAAAACGGAGAUUUUGUGCAUGGCUUUAUAUAUAGAUAUUC
Long non-coding RNA from Cyprinodon variegatus (sheepshead minnow), 904 nucleotides. RefSeq lists it as uncharacterized. The record is from RefSeq and is a predicted model, not a curated record. Lineage: Eukaryota; Metazoa; Chordata; Actinopteri; Cyprinodontiformes; Cyprinodontidae. The transcript has 3 exons.